This 374-nucleotide unclassified non-coding RNA is filed under the name uncultured Actinomycetes bacterium. RNAcentral's name for it is "uncultured actinobacterium contains 16S-23S intergenic spacer region". Lineage: Bacteria; Bacillati; Actinomycetota; Actinomycetes. The record is from RNAcentral.
UCCGAGUUGACCCCGGCAGUCUCCCACGAGUCCCCGCCAUUACGCGCUGGCAACAUAGAACGAGGGUUGCGCUCGUUGCGGGACUUAACCCAACAUCUCACGACGCGAGCUGACGACAGCCAUGCACCACCUGUAUGGAGCCCAAAAGGACCUCACAUCUCUGUGAGUUUUCCCCAUAUGUCAAACUCAGGUAAGGUUCUUCGCGUUGCAUCGAAUUAAUCAGCAUGCUCCGCCGCUUGUGCGGGCCCCCGUCAAUUCCUUUGAGUUUUAGCCUUGCGGCCGUACUCCCCAGGCGGGGCGCUUAAUGCGUUAGCUACGGUACCAAGGAAUCGCUUCCCCAACACCUAGUCGACAUCGUUUAGGGCGUGGACUAC